Molecule: transfer RNA, 62 nt
Filed under: Heterocephalus glaber (naked mole-rat)
Lineage: Eukaryota; Metazoa; Chordata; Mammalia; Rodentia; Bathyergidae
Rfam family: tRNA
About the family: Transfer RNA (tRNA) molecules are approximately 80 nucleotides in length. Their secondary structure includes four short double-helical elements and three loops (D, anti-codon, and T loops). Further hydrogen bonds mediate the characteristic L-shaped molecular structure. tRNAs have two regions of fundamental functional importance: the anti-codon, which is responsible for specific mRNA codon recognition, and the 3' end, to which the tRNAs corresponding amino acid is attached (by aminoacyl-tRNA synthetases). tRNAs cope with the degeneracy of the genetic code in two manners: having more than one tRNA (with a specific anti-codon) for a particular amino acid; and 'wobble' base-pairing, i.e. permitting non-standard base-pairing at the 3rd anti-codon position.
Source: Rfam by way of RNAcentral
GUGUGAUUCAGUGGUAGAGUAGUUGCCUGGCAUGUAAGAGGCCCUGGAUUCAAUUCCAGCAC